This 23-nucleotide non-coding RNA is filed under the name Cricetulus griseus (Chinese hamster). Lineage: Eukaryota; Metazoa; Chordata; Mammalia; Rodentia; Cricetidae. The record is from RNAcentral.
UGAGUUUGAAGACAUGUUUGAAG